AUAUUUUAUUAAUCUAGUUUGAAUUAUAUUAUGACUAUUAUGCAAGGAUUGAUUCCAAAAUAAAACAAAAAAAGAAAAAGAAAAUGAGAAUGUUACUAAGUGCAGUUACAAUAAGAAUGUUAUCCAUAUCAUUUCUCCUUUAUGACUUUUAUCUACGUUGAAGUGGUAGAGCUCUGUCUUGUAUUAUAUACUACCUAACCAAAUGAUACAUAUGACAGAUCUACGUCAUUGGUUUCAUCCCUGAAUGAAUUGCAUGAAAAACAUCAUUAAUUUGAACCAUUAUAACUCUAUAAGCUAACAUAUCCUCCCCUAACUGUGUUUAUACUUUAUUUUGUUCAUGUGCACUGAUGAACUUAACAUCGUGCUAUAGCAAAAUUCUCCUUAGUGUUUGCUUGACCUUAAGUCAAAUUAUUGGGCCGGUACUUGCAUAUGAAAACAAUUUCUCUCUUCCUUCAUGCUCAACGGAUGGAUUUUAGGAGUUGUUAUCUGAAAAAUAGUAAAACCAAGCAGAGAGUCGAAGACGACUAGAGGAGAUAGGCCGGUUAGAGGCUCUCAUAGCACAUGUGUAAUAGUAGACUGCAUGUUUGCAUAAGAAAGUUUGAACGAAUUUCUAGCUUAUUGUUAUACUUUCUGUUUAUGUAAUAUACCUAUGAGN
This 655-nucleotide long non-coding RNA is filed under the name Hordeum vulgare. RNAcentral's name for it is "long non-coding RNA (HVUL_LNC002642)". Lineage: Eukaryota; Viridiplantae; Streptophyta; Magnoliopsida; Poales; Poaceae. The record is from RNAcentral.